UGAGGAACAUGACUUUCGGCGGGGGAUAGCCGGCCCAACGGCCGGGUAAUACCGCGUACGACCACUUUGGGACAUCCCUCGGUGGUGAAAGCAGCAAUGCGCCGAUGGAGUGCCUCGCGGCCUAUCAGCUAGUUGGUGAGGUAACGGCUCACCAAGGCGACGACGGGUAACUGGUCUGAGAGGAUGGCCAGCCACAUUGGGACUGAGACACGGCCCAGACUCCUACGGGAGGNAGCG
RNAcentral lists this ribosomal RNA (237 nucleotides) under uncultured bacterium. Its description in RNAcentral is "partial 16S ribosomal RNA". It matches the Rfam family "Bacterial small subunit ribosomal RNA", at positions 118 to 353 of the family's 1533-position model. The record is from RNAcentral.